CACAGAUCAGGAUUCCAGCUUACCGAUACCGUCUCUGCCCAUCUUCUUUCCAAUAUCACCGAUGGUGACGCCCGGCAGCAACUGGAAAGUCCUACACACUCUCAUCAGCGUCAACCUACCAUCAUUGGAGAAACCAACUUACUUGGUAUCUCUCAGCUGAGUGACAAAAGUCUUCACGCCAUACUUCUUUCCAUCAACGAUCAUCUGCGCAAACACAGCAGCAUGUGUGGCCGUACUAGCUGCGCCACCGAUCCACCACUUGGUCGCUCCAAGAUGAGGAGUGUGGAUGAUGAAUUCAUCGGUCUCGCGGUCAAAUGUGGCGGAGGUUUCGAGACCGGCGACGUUGGAGCCAUGUGCGAGCUCGGUCAUGGCAAAACAGCCGAUGACACCGUUGAGCCCUAACACGCCGCGGUCAAUCCAGUAGCCUAGCGAAUCAAGGAAGUCAGCAGGUUCUGAAAGAAGUGAUGGCGACGAGAGACGCACUAAGCUGGUUGGGCGUAGCACCGCUUCGAAGAGCGCCCAAGAAAAGGCCAUACGCAACACCAAAUCUAGUCCAAAAUGAGGGGUCCGCAAUCCCUAUCAGCUAUAAGUAAUGUCAGCCAUCAUAAUUGCAAAACGAAAUCCGCCUAGCACCGUUACAACACUAGCCCGAAGGACCUACCUGCAUUCUUAGAGUGAAGACUUCAAGACUCUCGUUAGUCACAAAGUAUACCAUGGAUGCGAAUUUCUCCAUAGUACGCUCCCGGAGUUCAUCCUUGCUAAGAUCGUGGAUAUCGGAGAGCUUAAAGGCGGGAUGUCUUGCAAUCUUGGCGUAAGACACAUCAGCCCGUUGUUAUUGGCGGAAAGACGGAAAGAGCCACGUCUACUUACCUCAGCCAUGAAUUUUUCCUUCAAUACCAAGGCUUUUUCGGAUCCGUGCAUCUUGAUUGAAAGCUUCCGGACGUUGAAUGGAGGAUUGGCUCGCUCCUAUGUUAGGUUAGACGAUGGCAAGGACUAACGAGACGCGAAGAGAACAUACCAUGGCGAGUGUCUCGACCUGACCAGAAGACGUGUCAGUGACUCUCGAAAACAUAUUUUGGUAGCUCACAGUUGUAGGUUUUGGUCUCGGGAAUGCCAUCUUAUAAUGUAUAUGAUGUAUAUGAUGAUGAAA
This 1150-nucleotide small RNA is filed under the name Cryptococcus neoformans H99. Its description in RNAcentral is "Cryptococcus neoformans var. grubii H99 hypothetical RNA". Lineage: Eukaryota; Fungi; Basidiomycota; Tremellomycetes; Tremellales; Cryptococcaceae. The record is from RNAcentral.